RNAcentral lists this ribosomal RNA (301 nucleotides) under uncultured bacterium. Its description in RNAcentral is "partial 16S ribosomal RNA". It matches the Rfam family "Bacterial small subunit ribosomal RNA", at positions 509 to 809 of the family's 1533-position model. The record is from RNAcentral.
CAGCAGCCGCAGGAAUACGAAGGGUGCAAGCGUUAAUCGGAAUUACUGGGCGUAAAGCGUGCGCAGGCGGUUAUAUAAGACAGAUGUGAAAUCCCCGGGCUCAACCUGGGACCUGCAUUUGUGACUGUAUAGCUAGAGUACGGUAGAGGGGGAUGGAAUUCCGCGUGUAGCAGUGAAAUGCGUAGAUAUGCGGAGGAACACCGAUGGCGAAGGCAAUCCCCUGGACCUGUACUGACGCUCAUGCACGAAAGCGUGGGGAGCAAACAGGAUUAGAUACCCCUGUAGUCCCUGUCUCUUAUAU